Long non-coding RNA from Mastomys coucha (southern multimammate mouse), 748 nucleotides. RefSeq lists it as uncharacterized. The record is from RefSeq and is a predicted model, not a curated record. The transcript has 4 exons. NCBI's taxonomy places the organism in Eukaryota, Metazoa, Chordata, Mammalia, Rodentia, Muridae.
UUAAGUAUAUGCUGUAUGAUUUAUUAAAAUGUGUUAAGAUAUUAGAGGAUUUAAAAAAUGAUUCCUUUAGGCCUUUUUAGUCAUAACUGAAAAACAAAACAAAACAACCAAUCUGUAUGUCUACUGAAACCUGGGAGGAUUCAGGGGCCUCCAGAGAGGAGUUCUCACACUUAGAGGUGAUUCACUCCAGUUUACAGAGGGGUAAACAUUCUCAGGGUACUAUAGUAACUACUGUGAGGUUGUGUGAUCAGCAUGGCAGAGCCAGGAGUUAAAGCCAUACCUGCCUAAUGCCAGAAGGUUUUGAUCAUUCCUCAAGAGUGGGGAUAAUAUUCUAAUGUCCUGUAGCUAUUUCUUGCAACAUUAAGGCUUGAGGAUGUGAUCCAGCUAAUAACCCUGAGGAGAUGGCUGAGGCAAUGGCUCAGUUGUUACAGUAUUUGCUAGGUAAGCUGGAAGACCUGAGAGUGACCAUGCUACAGUUGUAAUGAGAAGAAAUAGAGACCCGCUAAGUGGCUCAGUGGGCAAAGGUGAUUGCUUCUAAGCCUCAUGACUUAAUUUUGAUUCCCGGGACCCACAUCAUGAAAGAAGAAAAAGAACUGAAAGUUGUCCUCUGUCAUCCUCCUGUGUGCCCUGCAUGCACACACUUAAAUAAAUGAAAGGCAACAUCACAUUUAAAUGAAUAGCAGAAAGGAUUUAUCUUAUAGGGGAGGCCAACACCCUAUGCCAGUUACAAUAAAAUUGGUGAAAUCAA